UACAGAGGGGGCAAGCGUUGUUCGGAAUUACUGGGCGUAAAGGGCGCGUAGGCGGCCUGUUAAGUCGAACGUGAAAUCCCCGGGCUCAACCCGGGAACUGCGUCCGAUACUGGCAGGCUUGAAUCCGGGAGAGGGAUGCGGAAUUCCAGGUGUAGCGGUGAAAUGCGUAGAUAUCGAGAGGAACACCUGCGGCGAAGGCGGGUUGCUGGGCUGACACUGACGCUGAUGCGCGAAAGCCAGGGGAGCGAACGGG
This 253-nucleotide ribosomal RNA is filed under the name uncultured bacterium. RNAcentral's name for it is "partial 16S ribosomal RNA". It matches the Rfam family "Bacterial small subunit ribosomal RNA", at positions 524 to 776 of the family's 1533-position model. The record is from RNAcentral.